RNAcentral lists this unclassified non-coding RNA (520 nucleotides) under uncultured Glomus. Its description in RNAcentral is "SSU rRNA". It matches the Rfam family "Eukaryotic small subunit ribosomal RNA", at positions 569 to 1094 of the family's 1831-position model. The record is from RNAcentral. Lineage: Eukaryota; Fungi; Glomeromycota; Glomeromycetes; Glomerales; Glomeraceae.
AGCAGCCGCGGUAAUUCCAGCUCCAAUAGCGUAUAUUAAAGUUGUUGCAGUUAAAAGCUCGUAGUUGAAUUUCGGGAUCAAUACGUCGGUCGUGCUUUCGGGUACGUACUGGCGUCAUUGGUUUCUCCUUUCUGACGAACCAUGAUGUCAUUAAUUUGGUGUUAUGGGGAGUUAGGACUGUUACUUUGAAAAAAUUAGAGUGUUUAAAGCAGGCAUUAGCUUGAAUACAUUAGCAUGGAAUAAUGAAAUAGGACGUUCGAUCCUAUUUUGUUGGUUUCUAGGAUCAACGUAAUGAUUAAUAGGGAUAGUUGGGGGCAUUAGUAUUCGAUUGUCAGAGGUGAAAUUCUUGGAUUAUUGAAGACUAACUACUGCGAAAGCAUUUGCCAAGGAUGUUUUCAUUAAUCAAGAACGAAAGUUAGGGGAUCGAAGACGAUCAGAUACCGUCGUAGUCUUAACCAUAAACUAUGCCGACUAGGGAUCGGGCGAUGUUGUUUCCAUGACUCGCUCGGCACCUUAUGGG